Long non-coding RNA from Bemisia tabaci, 1332 nucleotides. RefSeq lists it as uncharacterized. Lineage: Eukaryota; Metazoa; Arthropoda; Insecta; Hemiptera; Aleyrodidae. The record is from RefSeq and is a predicted model, not a curated record.
CAUUUUAGAUCCUUCGACUUGUGUAGCUUCUCACUUACAUUAUAUCACAAUCAGCCGCUCAAUCUGGUUAUCACUUACUUCAAAUACUUUCGUUUGCCUUCGGUGACAAUAAGGCUGAUGUGACACACUCAUUUUUUUAUUGAAAGUUCCAUUUUUAAAAAUUCCCUUCCUCCUUUUUCUUUUAAAUCAAAGUGAUCUUACAGCUACUUAAUCCCUGAAUGAACUUCACUUCGGUUUAACAAGUCCAUCUGUACGCAACCCGUUGUGGUGCAGCUCUUCGCGCUCCCGAAAGUCAUUCAUAUUCUUACGAUUUUAAUAUGUAAUGUGCAUCUUCUUAAGUGAAUUAGUCUCAUUAAAGUAUUUCAGUUCGUCUACAUUGCAUGCCACCCUUACAACCGCAUUCAACAACAUGUGCGUGAAAGAACUGAAAGACUCAUGUUUUAUUUAUGCGCUGGAGCUCCGUAAUAAUCUAAGGAAAAUUCAACCCUGCAAAAUUAUAUGGUGUGGUGUAUUGGUAAAACUUUACGUUGUGCGAUAUUUGGCGUACAUAAUUUCUUUCCCUCGUUUUCUGUUUUGGUGGAUUCUUUGGUUAUGGAUGGUUUCCUGGCACGGAGUUGACAAACGUAGGCAAAAAGCCUAUGGACGUGUUUCACCUGCUUCCGAAAAAACAAAUAUAAGUAAAAUAAAACAAAUAUAAUAAAUACGUACGGAUACGAUGGAGUCGGAUAAGGCGGGUGAUGGUUUAUGAUAUCCAUUUUCGUUGAUCUGACUGUUAGCUCGAGCAAGAUAUCUGUCUUUGGCUGCCGAGUGCCUCGUGUGUUCUAGAGGUCGGCGGUAAGAAAGGCAAACAAAGAGGUUGAAAAUGAAGAACUGAAGAAGUUGAAGCACGGGUGGUUAUAACGAAAUUGAGAGGAAAAAUUCGGAACCCCCAAUCUGAAAGCGGGAAAAUUCGGUGAAAUACUUCAGUGAAUUACACCCGAUGAAAUGAAAGUUGGCUACAGGGCCGAUUGAUGUUUUACUUUAGUGAAUUUUUUGCACGGUAUUGUUUUUUGAAAAAUUUCACAGAUCUGCAGAAAACAAUUUUGGGGGGUGUAGAAUGGUUGGUAAAACAAAAUCUUUGGGUAUGUCCUGAGGGAGUGAGGGUAGACAUUUUUUGCGCAAGAGCAUCUCCGUAUACUUCGAGUUUUCCGGUUCGAACUUAAUUAAGGUAGUUUUCAUCUGAUUCCUGUGCUGACUCGCCGAGUUUGAAGUUAUUUCUAAAAAUAGGAGGAGGGGUCCUUUAAAUUUUGUAUUGAAUUUAAUUAAUGUUAAUUAUAUCUACUUCAUUGAUUU